GCAGUGGUGGUUCAGUGGUAGAAUUCUUGCCUUCCAUGCAGGAGACCUGGGUUCGAUUCCAGGCCAAUGUA
This 71-nucleotide transfer RNA is filed under the name Loxodonta africana (African savanna elephant). It matches the Rfam family "tRNA". From Rfam's summary of the family: Transfer RNA (tRNA) molecules are approximately 80 nucleotides in length. Lineage: Eukaryota; Metazoa; Chordata; Mammalia; Proboscidea; Elephantidae. The record is from Rfam by way of RNAcentral.